CAAAGUGUCCUAGGUACUCCUAGGAAGCCCUUUUUUAUGUGCAAGUGUUUUAGUUGAAAAGAUAUUUGCUAAAAAACUAGAAUGAGGAGAUGAGAAAAGAAUUUGUUUAUUUACAAUUUUGUGUUUGACAAGACCUUCGGUCUUAUGCUUACGUACCAACAUAAAAAUGAGGGAUCAAAACCUCGUAGUUCAUCGUAAAAAUUUCGUAGAUGGGUGGAUUGAUUUUAA
Molecule: long non-coding RNA, 228 nt
Filed under: Lathyrus oleraceus (garden pea)
Lineage: Eukaryota; Viridiplantae; Streptophyta; Magnoliopsida; Fabales; Fabaceae
Description: Pisum sativum (pea) long non-coding RNA (PSAT_LNC027442)
Source: RNAcentral